This 350-nucleotide unclassified non-coding RNA is filed under the name soil metagenome. Its description in RNAcentral is "partial contains 5.8S ribosomal RNA, internal transcribed spacer 2, and large subunit ribosomal RNA". The stretch from base 1 to 120 matches the Rfam family "5.8S ribosomal RNA", at positions 35 to 154 of the family's 154-position model. The record is from RNAcentral.
GAUGAAGAACGUAGCGAAAUGCGAUAAGUAAUGUGAAUUGCAGAAUUCAGUGAAUCAUCGAAUCUUUGAACGCACAUUGCGCCCGCCAGUAUUCUGGCGGGCAUGCCUGUCCGAGCGUCAUUUCAACCCUCGAACCCCUCCGGGGGGUCGGCGUUGGGGAUCGGCCCUUUACGGGGCCGGCCCCGAAAUACAGUGGCGGUCUCGCCGCAGCCUCUCCUGCGCAGUAGUUUGCACACUCGCAUCGGGAGCGCGGCGCGUCCACAGCCGUUAAACACCCCAAACUUCUGAAAUGUUGACCUCCGAUCAGGUAGGAAUACCCGCUGAACUUAAGCAUAUCAAUAAGCGGAGGA